RNAcentral lists this ribosomal RNA (208 nucleotides) under uncultured Leptotrichia sp. Its description in RNAcentral is "partial 16S ribosomal RNA". It matches the Rfam family "Bacterial small subunit ribosomal RNA", at positions 149 to 355 of the family's 1533-position model. Lineage: Bacteria; Fusobacteriati; Fusobacteriota; Fusobacteriia; Fusobacteriales; Leptotrichiaceae. The record is from RNAcentral.
GAGGGAAACGUUACUGAUAAUACUGGAUAAGUUAGUAUAUCGCAUGAUAUGCAAAUGAAAGCUACGGCACUAAAGGAGAGCUUUGCGUCCUAUUAGCUAGUUGGUAAGGUAAGAGCUUACCAAGGCGAUGAUAGGUAGCCGGCCUGAGAGGGUGGACGGCCACAAGGGGACUGAGAUACGGCCCUUACUCCUACGGGAGGCAGCAGCA